This 465-nucleotide ribosomal RNA is filed under the name uncultured eukaryote. Its description in RNAcentral is "bacterial SSU rRNA". It matches the Rfam family "Eukaryotic small subunit ribosomal RNA", at positions 158 to 600 of the family's 1831-position model. The record is from RNAcentral.
CUAGGGCUAAUACGUGCGAAGCGCCCGAAGCCGCGAGGCGACGGGCGUUCUCGCCGGAUGUAGGAACCGACCCGGGUACCGCCGGGGCAACCCGGCGCCCCCGAGACGGGGCGAACCACGGUGAAAUGACGGAUCGUCGGCCCCGCGCCGGCGACUCGCCGAAUGAGUUUCUGACCUAUCAACUCGAGACGGCGGGGUAGAGGCCCGCCGCGGUAACGACGGGUAACGGGGAAUCAGGGUUCGAUUCCGGAGAGGGGAGCCCGAGAAACGGCUACCACUUCCAAGGAAGGCAGCAGGCGCGCAACUUACCCUAAUCUCGAUUCGAGGAGGUAGUGACAAGAAAUACCGAUGCGGGACCCUACGGGUGCCGCGUUCGGAAUGAGUACGAUUCGAACCACCUAACGAGGAACGAUCGGAGGGCAAGUCUGGUGCCAGCAGCCGCGGUAAUUCCAGCUCCAAUAGCGU